GACGGAGGGUGCAAGCGUUAUCCGGAAUGAUUGGGCGUAAAGCGUCCGCAGGCGGCAGUUCAAGUCUGCUGUCAAAGACCGGGGCUUAACUUCGGAAAGGCAGUGGAAACUGAACAGCUAGAGUAUGGUAGGGGCAGAGGGAAUUCCUGGUGUAGCGGUGAAAUGCGUAGAGAUCAGGAAGAACAUCGGUGGCGAAGGCGCUCUGCUGGACCAUAACUGACACUCAGGGACGAAAGCUAGGGGAGCGAAUGGG
This 253-nucleotide ribosomal RNA is filed under the name uncultured bacterium. RNAcentral's name for it is "partial 16S ribosomal RNA". It matches the Rfam family "Bacterial small subunit ribosomal RNA", at positions 524 to 776 of the family's 1533-position model. The record is from RNAcentral.